Long non-coding RNA from Condylura cristata (star-nosed mole), 156 nucleotides. RefSeq lists it as uncharacterized. The record is from RefSeq and is a predicted model, not a curated record. NCBI's taxonomy places the organism in Eukaryota, Metazoa, Chordata, Mammalia, Eulipotyphla, Talpidae. The transcript is spliced from 3 exons.
CGUUUAAGCAGUGACACCCGGAGAGCCAAACGGAGAAACCUCAGUCGCGGCCCAGCGCACAGCCGGCCCCAAGGCCCCUGUUAUGUCAGAGCCACCGAGACAGCGCGACACAACAGAAGCCCCCGGAGAGGCGACGACUCGAGCAAACAGUACAGG